Etheostoma cragini (Arkansas darter) is the source of this 93-nucleotide long non-coding RNA. RefSeq lists it as uncharacterized. The record is from RefSeq and is a predicted model, not a curated record. The transcript is spliced from 4 exons. NCBI's taxonomy places the organism in Eukaryota, Metazoa, Chordata, Actinopteri, Perciformes, Percidae.
CCAUGUACAGUCAUGCUACGACGGCAGUUAAGUUUAGGCACUAAAACGUCUAGUUAAGAUCAGAAAAAAGUAUGUGGUUUGGAUAGAAACACU